AUACUUACCUGGCAGGGGAGACACCAUGAUCAUGAAGGUGAUUUUCUUAGGGUGAGGCUCAUCCAUUGCACUCUGGGUGUGCUGACCCCUGUGAUUUCCCCAAAUGCGGGAAACUCAAUUUCGUAACUUGUGAUAAUGGGAUUAAAAUAAUUUUU
Molecule: small nuclear RNA, 155 nt
Filed under: Salvator merianae (Argentine black and white tegu)
Lineage: Eukaryota; Metazoa; Chordata; Lepidosauria; Squamata; Teiidae
Description: U1 spliceosomal RNA (ENSSMRG00000008104.1)
Rfam family: U1 spliceosomal RNA
About the family: U1 is a small nuclear RNA (snRNA) component of the spliceosome (involved in pre-mRNA splicing). Its 5' end forms complementary base pairs with the 5' splice junction, thus defining the 5' donor site of an intron.
Source: RNAcentral